This is a non-coding RNA of Stegodyphus mimosarum, 73 nucleotides long. Lineage: Eukaryota; Metazoa; Arthropoda; Arachnida; Araneae; Eresidae. The record is from Rfam.
GCCUUUGUGGUGUAAUGGUCAGCACACUGAGCCGGUAUUUCAGAGGUCCGUGAUUCGAUCCCCGGCGAAGGCA